This 254-nucleotide ribosomal RNA is filed under the name uncultured bacterium. Its description in RNAcentral is "partial 16S ribosomal RNA". It matches the Rfam family "Bacterial small subunit ribosomal RNA", at positions 524 to 776 of the family's 1533-position model. The record is from RNAcentral.
UACGGAGGGUGCAAGCGUUGUCCGGAAUUAUUGGGCGUAAAGAGCUCGUAGGCGGUGUGUCGCGUCGGCCGUGAAAACCUGCAGCUUAACUGUGGGCGUGCGGUCGAUACGGGCAUCACUGGAGUUCGGCAGGGGAGACUGGAAUUCCUGGUGUAGCGGUGAAAUGCGCAGAUAUCAGGAGGAACACCGGUGGCGAAGGCGGCAUCCUGGACCGGCAUUGACGCUGAGGAGCGAAAGCCAGGGGAGCAAACGGG